RNAcentral lists this ribosomal RNA (253 nucleotides) under uncultured bacterium. RNAcentral describes it as "partial 16S ribosomal RNA". It matches the Rfam family "Bacterial small subunit ribosomal RNA", at positions 524 to 776 of the family's 1533-position model. The record is from RNAcentral.
UACGUAGGGCGCGAGCGUUGUCCGGAAUUAUUGGGCGUAAAGAGCUCGUAGGCGGCCUGUUGCGUCUGCUGUGAAAUCCCGGGGCUUAACCCCGGGCGUGCAGUGGAUACGGGCAGGCUGGAGGCAGGCAGGGGAGAAUGGAAUUCCCGGUGUAGCGGUGAAAUGCGCAGAUAUCGGGAGGAACACCGGUGGCGAAGGCGGGUCUCUGGGCAGUAACUGACGCUGAGGAGCGAAAGCGUGGGGAGCGAACAGG